Molecule: long non-coding RNA, 1430 nt
Filed under: Heterocephalus glaber (naked mole-rat)
Lineage: Eukaryota; Metazoa; Chordata; Mammalia; Rodentia; Bathyergidae
Description: lncRNA (ENSHGLG00000048042.1)
Source: RNAcentral
GCACGGUGGAACACACCUGUAAUCUAGCACUCAGACUGAGGCAGAAUUGCAAGUUACAGCGCAGCCUGGGCAAUUUGUGGUGGUACCAGUUUACACUCCUACCAACAGUGAAGAAGAGUUCCUUUUUCUCCAAGGCUUCUCCAGCAUUUGAUAAACACUACUGACAUUACUAAAUAUCUUAAUGCACACGACAAGAUUGCUUCAAUGAAAACAGAAGUGUGAGAACUGCAUGAAGAGUUGAUCACAGGACUAUGAGUCAUCAUGCCAGGGCCUUUAGGUUAUAAAAAUUACAGCAUGGAUAAAGAAUAUUAAUCAUCAGCUACCUUUCUUCAACCAAAAACUCCUGGAAUAUCUUUAAUGCUUCAGAGAUGAGCAGCAGACAAUUUAAAAGAAAGGAUAAAGGAUGCAACCGAGCUGUUUCUAUGUGACUCGAGUCUUGAAAGAUUGUAUUGUGGCACAAUAAAAAUGUCCUUGCAGGCUGUAGAGGUAGAAAAUUGGGUUAACCUAUCUUUAAUACAGAAACUAAUUUUCAGUAAUACCCACAUUUUUAGUCUUGUGUUUUCUUUUUCUUUUUUUUUUUUUUUUUGGUGCCAGGAUCAAACUCGGGACCUUGCGUUUUGUGAGGCAGAUGCUGAACCACUGAGCUAAAUCUCCUGCCCUAGUCUUGUGUUUUCUUAUUUAUUUAAUGUUCAGGGCUGCUGUGGAUUGUAUUCAGGGCCUCAGGCAAGCUAAGCACACACCAAAGCACUGAGCUAUACCACCAGCCCCUCCCCUCUUUUUUUUGUACCGGGAUCGAAGUCGGAACCUUGCGCUGCCUAGGCAGGCACCUGAACCACUGAGCUAAAUCCCCACCCCCGCUCCUUUUGCUUUUUUGAGAAAAGGUCUGGCUAUACAGUUCAGGCUGUCCUUGAACUCACUGCAGUUCUCCUGCCUCAUCCACCCAAGUGCUGAGAUGAUAGGCAUGCACCACGCCACCUGGCUUCUCUUAACCUUUUGAUGUAGCUUUGGCAGAUAGAAUCAUGCUUGAAGCUAGAGGCUGCCAGCUUUCAACUAGUAGUUGCUAGUGAAACUUUGGUACAGUGAGGAUAAGAUGUUGUUGGCAUAGUGUAAUGUAAAAUAAAACAGUAAAACAUAGUCUGGUUUUUUGUUUUUGUUUUUUUUUAGACAAGAGUCUCACUCUGUAGUCUAGGCUGGCCUGGAAGUUGUUAAGUAGUUCAAACUGGUCUCAAACUCAAGCUCCUCCUGCCUCAGCUUCCCCAACUGCUGGGAAUAUAGGUAUACAGUCUUAAAAUGUUGGAAACAGCACCAUGCCUGCCUCAUAAGCACAAGGUCAUGAGUUUGAUCCCCAGUGCCAGAAAAAAAAAAAAAGUUGGAAACUGGGCAUGGUGGUGUACACCUGUAAUCUCAGGACUCUGGGAGGCUGAGGCAGG